This 431-nucleotide long non-coding RNA is filed under the name Carica papaya (papaya). RNAcentral's name for it is "long non-coding RNA (CPAP_LNC001117)". Lineage: Eukaryota; Viridiplantae; Streptophyta; Magnoliopsida; Brassicales; Caricaceae. The record is from RNAcentral.
UCAUAAACACAUUGUUGGAGUUUGCUAAAUCUAUCAACUAGGAAAAGAAAGUGAGUUAGGCACUCAUGGUGGUACAAAAAAGUUCUUAGAGAGUAAAGAGAAGAAGAAAGAUAAAGAAGAAUAAUUGCAGAAGCUGCUGUGUGCAGCGUUCGGAAGAAGAGAGAUACCCCUGCCUUGACAGCCGCCUCCUUUUUUAUAGAAGAGGAGUCAGAAUUUUCUUCUUUUUGUUUUGAUCUACAAUCUUCCCUUGAUUUUGGCGUAUCAAUAGCUUCUAGAUUGGUCUCCAUGAUUUUUUGUCAGCAAAUAUGGGCCUAAAUGGGAUCUGAUUUCAAAUUUCAAGGGCGCGCAUUUUGUUUUUGAAUUGAUUACUAUGCACAGUUCUUGGUCUUGCCCAAGCUCAUGAUCCACUACAUGAAUUCUUCCUCUCUUCA